CACUGAACAUUGAGCCUUGAUGUGUAGGAUAGGUGGGAGGCUUUGAAGUGUGGACGCCAGUCUGCAUGGAGCCGACCUUGAAAUACCACCCUUUAAUGUUUGAUGUUCUAACGUGGACCCGUAAUCCGGGUUGCGGACAGUGUCUGGUGGGUAGUUUGACUGGGGCGGUCUCCUCCUAAAGAGUAACGGAGGAGCACGAAGGUUGGCUAAUCCUGGUCGGACAUCAGGAGGUUAGUGCAAUGGCAUAAGCCAGCUUGACUGCGAGCGUGACGGCGCGAGCAGGUGCGAAAGCAGGUCAUAGUGAUCCGGUGGUUCUGAAUGGAAGGGCCAUCGCUCAACGGAUAAAAGGUACUCCGGGGAUAACAGGCUGAUACCGCCCAAGAGUUCAUAUCGACGGCGGUGUUUGGCACCUCGAUGUCGGCUCAUCACAUCCUGGGGCUGAAGUAGGUCCCAAGGGUAUGGCUGUUCGCCAUUUAAAGUGGUACGCGAGCUGGGUUUAGAACGUCGUGAGACAGUUCGGUCCCUAUCUGCCGUGGGCGCUGGAGAACUGAGGGGGGCUGCUCCUAGUACGAGAGGACCGGAGUGGACGCAUCACUGGUGUUCGGGUUGUCAUGCCAAUGGCACUGCCCGGUAGCUAAAUGCGGAAGAGAUAAGUGCUGAAAGCAUCUAAGCACGAAACUUGCCCCGA
This 688-nucleotide ribosomal RNA is filed under the name Salmonella enterica. RNAcentral describes it as "partial 23S ribosomal RNA". It matches the Rfam family "Bacterial large subunit ribosomal RNA", at positions 2115 to 2802 of the family's 2925-position model. The record is from RNAcentral. Lineage: Bacteria; Pseudomonadati; Pseudomonadota; Gammaproteobacteria; Enterobacterales; Enterobacteriaceae. RNAcentral also lists the same sequence under 2 other names.